AGCAGCCGCGGUAAUUCCAGCUCCAAUAGCGUAUAUUAAAGUUGUUGCAGUUAAAAAGCUCGUAGUUGAAUUUCGGGACCAAUUUGUUGGUCGUGCCUCGGUACGUACUGGUAUUAUUGGUUUCUCCCUUCUGAAGAACCUCGAUGUCAUUAAUUUGGUGUCGUGGGGAAUCAGGACUGUUACUUUGAAAAAAUUAGAGUGUUUAAAGCAGGCAUACGCUUGAAUACAUUAGCAUGGAAUAAUGAAAUAGGACGUUUGAUUCUAUUUUGUUGGUUUCUAGGAUCGACGUAAUGAUUAGUAGGGAUAGUUGGGGGCAUUAGUAUUCAAUUGUCAGAGGUGAAAUUCUUGGAUUUAUUGAAGACUAACUACUGCGAAAGCAUUUGCCAAGAAUGUUUUCAUUAAUCAAGAACGAAAGUUAGGGGAUCGAAGACGAUCAGAUACCGUCGUAGUCUUAACCAUAAACUAUGCCGACUAGGGAUCGGAUGAUGUAAUUUUUUAAUGACUCAUUCGGCGCCUUACG
Molecule: ribosomal RNA, 520 nt
Filed under: uncultured Glomus
Lineage: Eukaryota; Fungi; Glomeromycota; Glomeromycetes; Glomerales; Glomeraceae
Description: SSU rRNA
Rfam family: Eukaryotic small subunit ribosomal RNA
Source: RNAcentral